RNAcentral lists this ribosomal RNA (492 nucleotides) under uncultured bacterium. RNAcentral's name for it is "partial 16S ribosomal RNA". It matches the Rfam family "Bacterial small subunit ribosomal RNA", at positions 29 to 507 of the family's 1533-position model. The record is from RNAcentral.
AGUGAACGCUGGCGGUAGGCCUAACACAUGCAAGUCGAACGGCAGCACAGUAAGAGCUUGCUCUUACGGGUGGCGAGUGGCGGACGGGUGAGGAAUACAUCGGAAUCUACUUUUUCGUGGGGGAUCACGUAGGGAAACUUACGCUACUACCGCAUACGACCUACGGGUGAAAGCAGGGGAUCUUCGCACUUUGCGCGAUUGAAUGAGCCGAUGUCGGAUUAGCUAGUUGGCGGGGUAAAGGCCCACCAAGGCGACGAUCCGUAGCUGGUCUGAGAGGAUGAUCAGCCACACUGGAACUGAGACACGGUCCAGACUCCUACGGGAGGCAGCAGUGGGGAAUAUUAGACAAUGGGCGCAAGCCUGAUCCAGCCAUACCGCGUGGGUGAAGAAGGCCUUCGGGUUGUAAAGCCCUUUUGUUAGGAAAGAAAAGCAGCAGGUUAAUACCCCGCUGUUCUGACGGUACCCAAAGAAUAAGCACCGGCUAACUUCGUG